GCAUGGUGAACAGCAAUCUGGGGCAGGGGAUUCCACACUGUGUAUACUGCUGCCUGAUGUAGUGAUGGCAGUUCAGGUCCUGUGCAACCAGCGCUGUAGUCUCCAUUAUCCCAGACAGUGGUAUACAGAUUUGUUCAUAAUUGUUUGUUUGUUUGUUUUUUUAAUAGUCCAGCCCUCCAAUGGUUUGAGGGACAGUGAACUGUCCUCCUCUGUAAAAAGUUUGGGGACCCCUGCCUUAGACAAUCACAUGACAGUGCCUAGGGGAUCUUGCCGAGUCUCCAUUGAGCACACUGGGCUGAAGGUCCUUACAAUCUGUUUUCUGCAUGGAGGACCUAAUUUAAAAAGAAGAAGAAGGAGAAAGAAAGAAAGAAAGAAGAAGAAGUAGAACUCCCAGCUGACAGUCACCUUUUUCUUAGGGUCAGAAGCCUUCCAGUGUUUUAACUGUGGUUCACGAUCAGGGUCAGGCUUUGCACUUCCCUGUUGACUUUCCCUGCUUUGAGCUCUCAGAACCGCCUGGCAUGAAAGCUUGCCCCUACAGACUGCUCCCUCCUUCUUCCCCCCAUAUAUACUUCAGCUGUCAAAAUCUUUUAAUUACCUAAUUAGUCUGACUCUGGAGCUGAUCAGUGUGUGCCACCCUCUGAUCCCAGGGUUCUUGCUCUUUCUUGAUGAGAACAGCUUUACUCUCCAUGACCUACUCUUGAAAAUGUUCCCAAUUCAGCCUUUCUCCUUUGUACUCUUUGUGGCAAAAUUGAAAAGAGAAAGAAACAAAAAUCAGGUGCCACAGGGUAACGUGCUGGGUCAUCCUAAAACCUGUGAUAGUCUUAUUUCACUUAGAAAAUAAAAGAUUUCCUUGGCAACCA
This 860-nucleotide long non-coding RNA is filed under the name Monodelphis domestica (gray short-tailed opossum). RNAcentral's name for it is "lncRNA (ENSMODG00000045844.1)". The record is from RNAcentral. Lineage: Eukaryota; Metazoa; Chordata; Mammalia; Didelphimorphia; Didelphidae.